Molecule: ribosomal RNA, 350 nt
Filed under: uncultured eukaryote
Lineage: Eukaryota
Description: SSU rRNA
Rfam family: Eukaryotic small subunit ribosomal RNA
Source: RNAcentral
CCAGCAGCUGCGGUAAUUCCAGCUCCAAUAGCGUAUAUUUAAGUUGUUGCAGUUAAAAAGCUCGUAGUUGGAUUUCGGGUGGGUGAUAGCGGUCCGGCUCUGCUGUGUACUGCUAUUGCCUACCUUUCUGCCGGGGACGGUCUCUUGGGCUUCAUUGUCCGGGAAUCGGAGUCGGCGAGGUUACUUUGAGUAAAUUAGAGUGUUCAAAGCAGGCGUUCGCUAUGAAUACAUUAGCAUGGAAUAACAUGAUAGGACUCUGGCUUAUCUUGUUGGUCUGUAAGACCGGAGUAAUGAUUAAGAGGGACAGUCGGGGGCAUUCGUAUUUCAUUGUCAGAGGUGAAAUUCUUGGA